ACUUAGUUAGUCGUUCUUAUUAGAUUUUUAUAAAAUAAAAUAAUUGGAUAACUAAAAAAUAAAAUAUUUGAUUGCCUUUCAAUAAGUGCUAAGUUUAAAGUCUUCAGCCAAACCAAACCAAAGUUUAUAAUAGUUUAUAGACCGGCUCCACCCAAUAGAUGGGUUCAGUCAACGCAGUAUGGCUAUGCUUGUCGAGACAUGAUUGUGCACAUUGGCCAUUUGCCUAUGGA
This 230-nucleotide long non-coding RNA is filed under the name Elaeis guineensis (African oil palm). RNAcentral describes it as "long non-coding RNA (EGUI_LNC050369)". Lineage: Eukaryota; Viridiplantae; Streptophyta; Magnoliopsida; Arecales; Arecaceae. The record is from RNAcentral.